This is a long non-coding RNA of Papio anubis (olive baboon), 2928 nucleotides long. NCBI's taxonomy places the organism in Eukaryota, Metazoa, Chordata, Mammalia, Primates, Cercopithecidae. The record is from Ensembl.
CUUGAGGACAUAGCUCAGCUUGUUCAUGCCCAGAGACAGAAAGAGUUAAACUACUGACCCUGAAGGCAAGGGAGAGCCAGCUGCACAGCUGUGUGUGGGAGCCACCAGACUAAGCAACCAAGACAGGGUGGACAGCGUGAGAAAGUUGUCAAUGAGAACUGCUGCUGGAUAAAAUCAUCUUUCACCUGCCCAUGGCACCCCGAGUGUUCUUUCUGCUCAUCCACCCACUACCUUCAGACCUCAGCAUGAGCUGGAACCUGACCCUAGGCAUGACAAUAGGCACAGUCGUGAACCUGACAUUUGGCAAUGUUGGCAGGAUGAGAAGCAGUCAAACUCCAAACCGUGCUGUGAGCAGAGCCACACAUGGACAUGCCAUUCUUCCAAGAACCCUUAAAUCAACCUCAGAUGAAGCCUCAACUGCUGUUCCCACGCAGGACGCCCCUUUUCAGCAGGAAGCAGCCAGAAAGAAUCGUCAUCCAACACCCCAACAGCAGUUAGCUUUACUUCUCUUUGGGGAGGAAUAAUGUAGGAGUUAUUAAGAAAUUAUUUUAGGCAGGUAGUAAAGGUAAAGAGUCCUCAGUAAGGCUUUUUCUUUUAAUAAAAACAGCUCCCAAAACAUUUCUUUUCUCACAGAAAGGUGGCCAGGCCAGCAACCAUUGAUAUGCAAAUGCAGGCGAUUAGAAAGUAGGUUCACCCAACGUGGCAGUUCCCACUCACUUCUUGUCAGAUGUACCAGGUGUCAUGGCCGCCUUCAGAUAACACCACGUUUGCAGGACAUCAUGGCGACCUGUAUUCGCAUAUUAAAAGGCUAGAGUGGGAGAGCCAGGUUUUUUCAAGGGCUGCAUGAAUGACAUACUUGGUCAAACCAAUCCCAUGGGCCCUAUGCAAAUCAGACACCGCCUCCUCCAGCCUCCCAAUACAGCAAACUGCUUUCCGCAGCAUGCAGGGUUUCUCCAUUCAGAGACUCCCUCCCUCUGUACAGGGGAGACGUUUUCUUCUUUCUUUCUUCUUUCUUACCUAUUAAACUUUUCGCCCCUUAAAACCGCUCCAUGUGUGUCGUGACGUUAAUCGUAUCGGUGCAAGACCAAGGACGUUGGUGUUUCUCCAGCCAUCAGAACCACAUCAUUUAUACGCAGACUUUUCUUGUCAUUAUUCUCUAAGCAAUACAGCAUAACAACUAUUUAUAUAGCAUUUACAUUGUAUUAGGUAUUAUAAGUAAUCUAGAAGUGUUUCAUAAUGCACAGGAAGAUAUGUGUAGUUUAUAUGCAAAUGCUAAACUGUUUUAUAAAGGAACUUGUGCAUCCAUGAAUUUUGGUGUUCUCAGAGGGCCCUGGAGCCAGUCCCCCACAGAUACCAAAGGAUGACUGUACUUUAAACAGAGGAAUAAUGAUACUAACUGGAUUUUAUAUUUACACACACACACACACACACAAAGCAGUGAAAACAUUAAGUAAUCAGUAAAUGUAAAAAUAUAGCUUUGUCUCUUUUUAAAAUUUUUCUUUAAAAUAAAGUUUACAGCUUAAAGCAAAAAUAUGAAUAAUGAAUUGGGGUGUUCAUAGUUAACAGUAACUUAUAUGGCCCCAAAAAGUAGAACAAAGGGGAAGUCACCGGUGGCUCACACCUGUAAUCCCAGCACUUUGGGAGGCUGAGGCAGGUGAAUCACGGGGUCAGGAGAUCGAGACCAUCCUAGCCAACAUAGUGAAAACCCUUCUCUACUAAAAAUACAACAAUUAGCCGGGUGUGGUGGUGUGUGCCUGUAGUCCCAGCUACUUGGGAGGCUGAGGCAGGAGAAUCGUUUGAACCUGGGAGGCAGAGAUUGCAGUGAACUGAGAUCAUGCCACUACACUCCAGCCUAGUGACAGAGGAGACCCGUCUCAAAAAAAAAAAAAAAAAAAAAAAAAGGCGGAGCAAGAUGGCCGAAUAGGAACAGCUCCAGUCUCCAACUCCCAGCGCGAGCGACACAGAAGACCGGUGAUUUCUGCAUUUUCAACUGAGGUACUGGGUUCAUCUCACUGGGGAGUGCCGGACGAUCCAUCGGUGCUGGUCAGCUGUUGCAGCCCGACCAGCGAGAGCUGAAGCAGGGCGAGGCAUCGCCUCACCUGGGAAGCGCAAGGGGGAAGGGAAUCCCUUUUCCUAGCCAGGGGAACUGAGACACACAACACCUGGAAAAUCGGGUAACUCCCACCCCAAUAUUGCGCUUUAAGCAAACAGGCACACCAGGAGAUCAUAUCCCACACCUGGCCUGGAGGGUCCCACGCCCACGGAGCCUCCCUCAUUGCUAGCACAGCAGUCUGUGAUCUACUGGCAAGGCAGCAGCGAGGCUGGGGGAGGGGCGCCCGCCAUUGCUGAGGCUUAAGUAGGUAAACAAAGCUGCUGGGAAGCUCCAACUGGGUGGAGCUCACAGCAGCUCAAGGAAACCCUGCCUGUCUCUGUAGACUCCACCUCUGGGGACAGGGCACAGCUACACAACAACAAUAACAACAACAACAACAAAGCAGCAGAAACCUCUGCAGACGCAAACGACUCUGUCUGACAGCUUUGAAGAGAGCAGUGGAUCUCCCAACACGGAGGCUGAGAUCUGAGAACGGACAGACUGCCUGCUCAAGUGGGUCCCUGACCCCUGAGUAGCCUAACUGGGAGACAUCGCCCACUAGGGGCAGUCUGACACCCCACACCUCACAGGGUGGAGUACACCCCUGAGAGGAAGCUUCCAAAGCAAGAAUCAGACAGGUACACUCGCUGUUCAGAAAUAUUCUAUCUUCUGCAGCCUCUGCUGCUGAUACCCAGGCAAACAGGGUCUGGAGUGGACCUCAAGCAAUCUCCAACAGACCUACAGCUGAGGGUCCUGACUGUUAGAAGGAAAACUAUCAAACAGGAAGGACACCUACACCAAAACCCCAUCAGUACAACACCAUCAUCAAAGACCAG